GCUGGGUGUGGUAGUGCACGCCUGUAAUCCCAGCUACUUGGGAGGCUGAGGCAGGAGAAUCACUUGAACCUGGGAGGCGGAGGUUGCAGUGAGCCGAGAUUGCGCCACUGCACUCCGGCCUGGGCAAUAGAGUGAGACUCCGUCUCAA
This 148-nucleotide non-coding RNA is filed under the name Homo sapiens (human). Lineage: Eukaryota; Metazoa; Chordata; Mammalia; Primates; Hominidae. The record is from Rfam by way of RNAcentral.